AGUAGGGUCAGCUAAAUAAGCUGUCGGGCCCAUACCCCGAAAAUGCCCGCCGGCCCCUACUA
Molecule: transfer RNA, 62 nt
Filed under: Pareas boulengeri
Lineage: Eukaryota; Metazoa; Chordata; Lepidosauria; Squamata; Pareidae
Description: tRNA-Met
Source: RNAcentral